Molecule: non-coding RNA, 72 nt
Organism: Bos taurus (domestic cattle)
Lineage: Eukaryota; Metazoa; Chordata; Mammalia; Artiodactyla; Bovidae
Source: Rfam
UCCCUGGUGGCUCAAAUGGUAAAGAACCUGCCUGCGAUGCAGGAGACCAGGGUUCAAUCCCUGGAUUGGGAA